GACGAACGCUGGCGGCAUGCCUAACACAUGCAAGUCGAACGGAGAUUAUUUCGGUAAUCUUAGUUGCGAACGGGUGCGUAACGCGUGGUCAACCUGCCCUCUAGAUGGUGACAGCAUCCCGUAAGUUGUGCUAAUACCGGAUAUUACAGCAAUAUCUCAUGAGGCUGCUGGGACAGAUGUCCUCUAUGUAUUAGCUAUCACUAGAGGAUGGGCCUGCGUCUGAUUAGCUAGUUGGUGGGGUAACGGCCUACCAAGGCGAUGAUCAGUAGCCGGUCUGAGAGGAUGGACCGGCCACAUGGGAACGGGACAAGGCUCAGGACUCCAAGGGGAGGAGGCAGGGGGGAAUCUUCGGAAAGGGGGGAAAGCUGAAGGAAGCAAGGCCGGGUGGUGAAGAAAGAACUCCUUCCGGAAAGAUUCUUUGUUUAGGAAGAAACUGCAGAUUGUGAAACAAGACCUGUAAUGACGGUAGUAAAAGAAAAAGCCACGGCUAACUACGUG
Molecule: ribosomal RNA, 498 nt
Filed under: uncultured bacterium
Lineage: Bacteria
Description: partial 16S ribosomal RNA
Rfam family: Bacterial small subunit ribosomal RNA
Source: RNAcentral